GAUGAACGCUGGCGGCGUGCCUAAUACAUGCCAGUCGAGCGAACGGACGAGAAGCUUGCUCCUCUGACGUUAGCGGCGGACGGGUGAGUAACACGUGGAUAACCUACCUAUAAGACUGGGAUAACUUCGGGAAACCGGAGCUAAUACCGGAUAAUAUUUUGAACCGCAUGGUUCAAUAGUGAAAGACGGUUUUGCUGUCACUUAUAGAUGGAUCCGCGCUGCAUUAGCUAGUUGGUAAGGUAACGGCUUACCAAGGCAACGAUGCAUAGCAGACCUGAGAGGGUGAUCGGCCACACUGGAACUGAGACACGGUCCAGACUCCUACGGGAGGCAGCAGUAGGGAAUCUUCCGCAAUGGGCGAAAGCCUGACGGAGCAACGCCGCGUGAGUGAUGAAGGUCUUCGGAUCGUAAAACUCUGUUAUUAGGGAAGAACAUAUGUGUAAGUAACUAUGCACAUCUUGACGGUACCUAAUCAGAAAGCCACGGCUAACUACGUG
This 497-nucleotide ribosomal RNA is filed under the name uncultured bacterium. Its description in RNAcentral is "partial 16S ribosomal RNA". It matches the Rfam family "Bacterial small subunit ribosomal RNA", at positions 28 to 507 of the family's 1533-position model. The record is from RNAcentral.